RNAcentral lists this long non-coding RNA (325 nucleotides) under Ananas comosus (pineapple). RNAcentral describes it as "long non-coding RNA (ACOM_LNC044191)". The record is from RNAcentral. Lineage: Eukaryota; Viridiplantae; Streptophyta; Magnoliopsida; Poales; Bromeliaceae.
UAAGCAGCAAGUAAUUGAAGUUAGUAUGAUCAAAUUGCAGUUUCUUGGGAUUUUGGUGUUCUUGAGCUGAAAUUAAGAUUUUCUUGGUGUUUUUGGAUUCGAAUGUCUUGGGAGCUGGAUUUUUGAUGUGGAAAUUGGCUUUCCAUCAUCCUUUACAGGUUUUGAAGCUUUUCCCACAUGAGUUUGAGAUUUGAAAGGUGAGUUUUAACUCAGUUUUGGAUAUUUGAGUUUAUAUGCUGUUUUUAAGGUUUUGAUGGAAAAUCUUGAAUUUUUUUUUUUUAGUCCAGAUUUUUAUGGAAAGCUUAAGGUUGGAUUUGGAUUGAUU